RNAcentral lists this ribosomal RNA (68 nucleotides) under Pulicaria diffusa. RNAcentral describes it as "partial 28S ribosomal RNA". The stretch from base 12 to 68 matches the Rfam family "Eukaryotic large subunit ribosomal RNA", at positions 1 to 57 of the family's 3401-position model. Lineage: Eukaryota; Viridiplantae; Streptophyta; Magnoliopsida; Asterales; Asteraceae. RNAcentral also lists the same sequence under 1 other name. The record is from RNAcentral.
CGCUUCGACCGCGACCCCAGGUCAGGCGGGACUACCCGCUGAGUUUAAGCAUAUCAAUAAGCGGAGGA